Molecule: ribosomal RNA, 269 nt
Filed under: uncultured prokaryote
Description: partial 16S ribosomal RNA
Rfam family: Bacterial small subunit ribosomal RNA
Source: RNAcentral
UACGUAGGUGGCGAGCGUUGUCCGGAUUUACUGGGUGUAAAGGGCGAGUAGGCGGACUGUCAAGUCAGAUGUGAAAUCCCGAGGCUCAACCUCGGAACUGCAUUUGAAACUGACGGUCUUGAGUGCUGGAGAGGAAAGCGGAAUUCCUAGUGUAGCGGUGGAAUGCGUAGAGAUCGGGAGGAACACCAGUGGCGAAGGCGGCCUGCUGGACCAUUCCUGACACUCAGACGCGAAAGCUAGGGUAGCAAACGGGAUUAGAUACCCGUGUA